CUCCCCUUCUCUUAGAACAGCAAUGCUUCUCUGCUAGGGUUUAGAGCUCACUCGUGCUCAAGUUAGCUCAACCAGUUCGACUCCAUUUCGUAAAACUGCUCCUAGAGCUAUUGGGUUCAUUGGCUUAAGGGUCAAAGUCUAUUAUUAGCCUCUUUCCAGAUGUGAGAACUCCCUAUGGUCAUAAGGAUGACGGAGGUUUUGCUGCAUAGCCAUCCGAGCUGGUUCCACUCAUCUGAGUUCCUCUUCGGGCUAUGACCCAUGUAUUAACUUGUCUUUUAAUCUUAAUGUGGUUACUGUUGAACUUUGUACUCUAUAUUGUAUUGGCAUCGUGGUGUGCCUAAGGAUUCCAUUUUUAAGUACCUUGGAUAU
Long non-coding RNA from Vigna unguiculata (cowpea), 369 nucleotides. The record is from RefSeq and is a predicted model, not a curated record. NCBI's taxonomy places the organism in Eukaryota, Viridiplantae, Streptophyta, Magnoliopsida, Fabales, Fabaceae.